This 411-nucleotide long non-coding RNA is filed under the name Amborella trichopoda. RNAcentral describes it as "long non-coding RNA (ATRI_LNC003383)". The record is from RNAcentral. Lineage: Eukaryota; Viridiplantae; Streptophyta; Magnoliopsida; Amborellales; Amborellaceae.
AUCGAUAAACCCGCAUAGCAGCUGAUAAAGAGCAUUGCCUUGAUCGAGCUGACGGAGGCGACUGUCAAAGCCGAGCACUUCCAUGGUUGGAUUGGGCGACGCGGGCAUUCAAGCGACACAAGCAGCGAUCAAGCAAGCGAGUGAAGAGCUUAAGUCCUAUUGUCCUUAAGCGACUUCACGAACGAUAGGACUUCUAUUGUCAGUUUGACUACGAGAAAACACGAGUUAAUACGGUUAAAAUAGGUGCCGGUUACCAUUAGUGUCUCUUAAUUCUUUUUCGGAAGCAAAAGGAGAAAGAAAAUAAAGAAAGAAUUGAUUCUCCCUUCCUGACCAGGUUCUGCCCCCGGUCCCAUCUCAGUAUUUUGUACAUUUGAGUAUACCGUCUCGGGGACAAACGAUAGCCGACAAACG